Phalaenopsis equestris is the source of this 700-nucleotide long non-coding RNA. RefSeq lists it as uncharacterized. The record is from RefSeq and is a predicted model, not a curated record. Lineage: Eukaryota; Viridiplantae; Streptophyta; Magnoliopsida; Asparagales; Orchidaceae. The transcript is spliced from 3 exons.
GGCCUCUAGAAUUCUUCUCAGCAAUUCUUGAUUGUUAUUUUGCUGAAAUUCUACUCAUAUCCUUUGCUGGUAUCAGUCGUCUUGUCAGCCAAACAUUUCCAUGUCUGGUAGGUUAGUGGGGUAACUGUUUUAUCAGAACAUGAGUGAAUGGCUUUUGAAUAGUUUUGUUAUUCUGAAAAAAUUGUUGGCUCAAUUUGUUAUUCCGUGAAACAAUUCUAAAUUUGCAAUUCUAAAACUGCAUUAUUUUGUACAUUUUCUUACACUUGCAUGCUGCACGGGGAUGUUGUGGUGGAAAGAAAUAUGCUGCUUAUCUACAUGUAUUAAUGAAUUUUGUAGAUAUGUUAGUUUAUGCUCUUUAAAGUAACCAGCAAACUUUCUUGUAGGUGAGGUUUGGCGGCUUAAUCAUAUUUGAUAAUGUUCUAUGGCACGGAAAAGUUUCUGAUCCCCAAGUGAAAGACAUGAAGACUAUCAGCCUGAGAAAUUUCAAUAAAAAAAUUCGCGAGGAUAGCCGUGUUAGCGUUAGUAUGGUACCCAUUGGUGAUGGCAUGACAAUCUGCCGUAAAAGGGAAUGAGGUUGGCCUGUUUCAUUCCGUUAAUCUUGAUAUGUUCAGUAAUUUAUGACCCAAACAAUUAGUCGAGGUUUCAAAUGUCUUUAUUUUCUUGUUUCCUAGAAAUGGGCUCAUAAUUGAUUUGUGGAUGA